Molecule: ribosomal RNA, 498 nt
Filed under: uncultured bacterium
Lineage: Bacteria
Description: partial 16S ribosomal RNA
Rfam family: Bacterial small subunit ribosomal RNA
Source: RNAcentral
GACGAACACUGGCGGCAUGCCUAACACAUGCAAGUCGAACGGAGAUUAUUUCGGUAAUCUUAGUGGCGAACGGGUGAGUAACGCGUGGGCAACCUGCCCUCUAGAUGGGGACAAUAUCCCGAAAGGGGUGCUAAUACCGAAUGUGACAGCAAUCUCGCAUGAGGAUGUUGGGAAAGAUGGCCUCUAUUUAUUAGCUAUCGCUAGAGGAGGGUACUGCGUUUGUUUAGUUAGUUGGUGGGGUAACGGCCUACCAAGGCGAUGAUCAGUAGCCGGUCUGAGAGGAUGAACGGCCACAUUGGGACUGAGACACGGCCCAGACUCCUACGGGAGGCAGCAGUGGGGAAUCUUCCGCAAUGGGCGAAAGCCUGACGGAGCAAUGCCGCGUGAGUGAUGAAGGAAUUCGUUCCGUAAAGCUCUUUUGUUUAUGACGAAUGUGCAGAUUGUGAACAAUGAUCUGUAAUGACGGUAGUAAACGAAUAAGCCACGGCUAACUACGUG